UACGUAGGGCGCAAGCGUUGUCCGGAAUUAUUGGGCGUAAAGAGCUCGUAGGCGGUUUGUCGCGUCUGUCGUGAAAGCUUGGGGCUUAAUCCCAAGUCUGCGGUGGAUACGGGCAGACUAGAGGCAGGUAGGGGAGAACGGAAUUCCCGGUGUAGCGGUGAAAUGCGCAGAUAUCGGGAGGAACACCGGUGGCGAAGGCGGUUCUCUGGGCCUGUACUGACGCUGAGGAGCGAAAGCGUGGGGAGCGAACAGG
This 253-nucleotide ribosomal RNA is filed under the name uncultured bacterium. RNAcentral's name for it is "partial 16S ribosomal RNA". It matches the Rfam family "Bacterial small subunit ribosomal RNA", at positions 524 to 776 of the family's 1533-position model. The record is from RNAcentral.